This 253-nucleotide ribosomal RNA is filed under the name uncultured bacterium. Its description in RNAcentral is "partial 16S ribosomal RNA". It matches the Rfam family "Bacterial small subunit ribosomal RNA", at positions 524 to 776 of the family's 1533-position model. The record is from RNAcentral.
UACGAGUGCCUCGAGCGUUAUCCGGAAUCAUUGGGCGUAAAGGGUGUGUAGGUGGUCGCGUUAGUCUCUCGUUAAAUUCUUCGGCUUAACCGGGGGUCUGCGGGGGAAACGGCGCGACUUGAGGAUGCGAGGGGUCUGCGGAACUCAUAGUGUAGCGGUGAAAUGCGUUGAUAUUAUGGGGAACACGAAAAGCGAAGGCAGCAGACUGGAGCACUCCUGACACUGAAACACGAAAGCGUGGGUAGCGAAUGGG